AUGAAAAGUAUUAUGAUUGAUGAGGAAUCUACACAGGUGAGCCACAGCGAAUCUUGGCUGGACAAACUUGGAAUCAAUAAGAACAAGUUGGCAUUUCUAAAAUGUCUGAUUUGGUGGAAAGAAAGUACCACAACCAUAGAAAAAGAUCAUCAAACUGCUUCUGGAGUUCGUUCUCAUGAUGCCCAUGGACUGACUGAAUUGGAUGGAUGCAUGACAAAAGAUGAGCAGGCAUAUAUUCCAUAUAAAUUAGCUAAACUAUAUAUUACAAAGAUUGUAAAAGACAUGCAGCAAAUGAAAAUCAGACACAUGAAUAUAAUCAAUGAGUUGGACUGCAUAAGAAAAGAAAAGCAGGAACAGGCUGUAAUUGUUCUGAAGAAUCAUUACAACGGCAAAAUAAAGACCCUGAGAGCCCAGUUGGAAGCCUACCAGGAGCUUGUAGACAAGAGGAAUGGGGACUGGCAAGAUAUGAUUAAGCAUGCUUUCCAAGUAUGUCUGGGGCUGAUAUCAGUGACUAGCAGCAUGCUCUUUAGCAGGGACUGGCAACCUAUUCAAGCUGUGGCCCAGAACAACCCAGCUCCACUCCAGUGUAGACUGGGUUUCUUUGCUGGUGCAUCAGCAGCAAGGGAGGUUUGCCUGCACCCAUGCUGAGACCACUAGACCGGACAUCUGGGAGCUUCCCUGCCAUCACCACCACUUCCCCAGCACCCUGCUCCCCAGUUGGGGUACAAGAGGCAGCUUCCAGGCAGAAGCCUUCUGUACUGGGGCAGAGCAGUUGGGAACUUAAUUGGCACUGUUGUUGCUGCUUCUCUCCAGCCUCCUGAUCUCUGGCUGCUACACAGGCACAGCUUCCAGCCACUGGGGAGCUAGGCCAGGGCUGGAUGGCUGGAGGCUGCUUCUGCACAGGUGCCACUUCACCCCACACCUCCUCCCACCCUCCCAGCUGCAAUCCAGGUGCAGCUAGGGGCUGCCCAGACCCAUCUCAGUUCACACUAGCUGGAAGUUACAUCCAUGUUGCAGGUAAGAAGCUGGGGGUCGGGGGGGGAGGGGGGUAAGAAGCAGCAGCAAUGUAGGUGAACCUUCUGCAUGC
Molecule: long non-coding RNA, 1087 nt
Filed under: Crocodylus porosus (Australian saltwater crocodile)
Lineage: Eukaryota; Metazoa; Chordata; Crocodylia; Crocodylidae
Description: lncRNA (ENSCPRG00005006301.1)
Source: RNAcentral